UAGGGAAUCUUCCACAAUGGACGAAAGUCUGAUGGAGCAACGCCGCGUGAGUGAAGAAGGGUUUCGGCUCGUAAAGCUCUAUCAGCAGGGAAGAAAAUGACGGUACCUGACUAAGAAGCACCGGCUAAAUACGUGCCAGCAGCCGCGGUAAUACGUAUGGUGCAAGCGUUAUCCGGAUUUACUGGGUGUAAAGGGAGCGUAGACGGCUGUGUAAGUCUGAAGUGAAAGCCCGGGGCUCAACCCCGGGACUGCUUUGGAAACUAUGCAGCUAGAGUGUCGGAGAGGUAAGUGGAAUUCCCAGUGUAGCGGUGAAAUGCGUAGAUAUUGGGAGGAACACCAGUGGCGAAGGCGGCUUACUGGACGAUGACUGACGUUGAGGCUCGAAAGCGUGGGGAGCAAACAGGAUUAGAUACCCUGGUAGU
RNAcentral lists this ribosomal RNA (422 nucleotides) under uncultured Coprococcus sp. RNAcentral describes it as "bacterial SSU rRNA". It matches the Rfam family "Bacterial small subunit ribosomal RNA", at positions 355 to 794 of the family's 1533-position model. Lineage: Bacteria; Bacillati; Bacillota; Clostridia; Lachnospirales; Lachnospiraceae. The record is from RNAcentral.